UGGUUGUCAUGUGAUCUGGGUUCCACUUUCCCACCCGUUGAUACUGAGGUAAAUACGGCUGCUGGUUGUCAUGUGAUCUGGGUUCCACUUUCCCACCCGUUGAUACUGAGGUAAAUACGGCUGCUGGUUGUCAUGUGAUCUGGGUUCCACUUUCCCACCCGUUGAUACUGAGGUAAAUACGGCUGCUGGUUGUCAUGUGAUCUGGGUUCCACUUUCCCACCCGUUGAUACUGAGGUAAAUACGGCUGCUGGUUGUCAUGUGAUCUGGGUUCCACUUUCCCACCCGUUGAUACUGAGGUAAAUACGGCUGCUGGUUGUCAUGUGAUCUGGGUUCCACUUUCCCACCCGUUGAUACUGAGGUAAAUACGGCUGCUGGUUGUCAUGUGAUCUGGGUUCCACUUUCCCACCCGUUGAUACUGAGGUAAAUACGGCUGCUGGUUGUCAUGUGAUCUGGGUUCCACUUUCCCACCCGUUGAUACUGAGGUAAAUACGGCUGCUGGUUGUCAUGUGAUCUGGGUUCCACUUUCCCACCCGUUGAUACUGAGGUAAAUACGGCUGCUGGUUGUCAUGUGAUCUGGGUUCCACUUUCCCACCCGUUGAUACUGAGGUAAAUACGGCUGCUGGUUGUCAUGUGAUCUGGGUUCCACUUUCCCACCCGUUGAUACUGAGGUAAA
This is a long non-coding RNA of Oncorhynchus keta (chum salmon), 673 nucleotides long. RefSeq lists it as uncharacterized. The transcript has 3 exons. Lineage: Eukaryota; Metazoa; Chordata; Actinopteri; Salmoniformes; Salmonidae. The record is from RefSeq and is a predicted model, not a curated record.